Molecule: unclassified non-coding RNA, 304 nt
Filed under: uncultured Hypholoma
Lineage: Eukaryota; Fungi; Basidiomycota; Agaricomycetes; Agaricales; Strophariaceae
Description: sequence contains ITS2
Rfam family: 5.8S ribosomal RNA (bases 1-52)
Source: RNAcentral
AACGCACCUUGCGCUCCUUGGUAUUCCGAGGAGCAUGCCUGUUUGAGUGUCAUUAAAUUCUCAACCUUUAUUAACUUUUUGGUUAGUAAGUGGAUUGGAAGUGGGGGCAUGUUGGUUUCUUCAUUGAAAUAAACUCCCCUGAAAUGCAUUAGCUGGUUGCCUUGUGCGAACAUGUCUAUUGGUGUGAUAAUUAUCUACGCCGUGGGCUAUUUGCCGUUUAUAGCACUGCUUAUAAUCGUCUGUUUAUUCAGACAAUAUAUGACAAUUUGACCUCAAAUCAGGUAGGACUACCCGCUGAACUUAA